Molecule: long non-coding RNA, 532 nt
Filed under: Brassica napus (rape)
Lineage: Eukaryota; Viridiplantae; Streptophyta; Magnoliopsida; Brassicales; Brassicaceae
Description: long non-coding RNA (BNAP_LNC018312)
Source: RNAcentral
AUUUUGUGUAAGGUAAUGUAGGCGUUUGUUUUAUAAAUAAUAUAUUGAGAUAAUAAGUUAAGGAAUUGGGGUUUGGAAUGGAAAGAAUAGAUUGAGGUGAAAGAAUAUAUUGAGGUUAAAGGGUAGAUGGGUUUGGGGUUUGGAAUAUAUGAAGUAGAAGAUAAGGAAGAUGGGGAUUCGGGUUUGGGGUCUCGGAUUUUAGUGAUGUAAACAUAAUACUCGUUAAUUCCUCGUAAAGAAACGUGAAAAUUACGAUAAAAUAUAAAAAUAAAGAACGCGGGCCUCGUUAAUUCUACGUAAACAAAAAUCGUCGUAAAGCACUCGUAAGCCAACGAGGAAAUAACGACGAAAUAAAAAAAAAAAAGCGGGGCUCGUUAAUUCCACGUAAGCAGAAAUCGUCGUAAAGCACUCGUAAGCCAACGAGAAAAUAACGACGAAAAAAGAAAGAAAGUAGGGCUCGUUAAUUCCACGUAGAAUAAAAACUAGAAAAAAAAAGAGAAGAAAGAUACAGGAAUCACAUGUGGCGAGACUU